AAUUAUUAAAGUGGAAACAUAAGUUUAUUUAACUUUUCAGUAAAUAUCUACUGAUUUAUAUUUCACUUUCAGAUUUAUUUUUUACUGAAGAAGGCUACAAUGCACAGCAGAACAACUGGCUUAUUCUGAGUUUCUACAUUGUUCUUCCUUUUAUCAUAAUUUUCGCCAUGAUGAUCAUGAAACGAAAUGAAACGAGAAAAUCAUGCAACAGAGAGAACGCAGAAUAUAAAGGGUGUUCAACUCAAAUUGUAAUGAUGCAGACUCAUCUAGAUCCUUGGUUUAGCCCUGAGGAUCUUGCCAUUUCUGGCCUAAAGUAUGAAAAAUCCCUUUGCUCAUCCACAAAGACCUCAAAUUCAACAUAUCUUCAACCCAUAAUUCAGCCAUUGUGCCAGAACACUAUGACAUGGACUACUGAUACUGCAAGCACUUCGCCAGCACAUGGCCCGUUUCCAGAGGAGAAAAUGCACGUUAGGACCCUUACGUCAUCCCUAAAUGCCUUUCAAGUGUCCGGGUUUGGAAACUAA
Molecule: long non-coding RNA, 524 nt
Filed under: Suricata suricatta (meerkat)
Lineage: Eukaryota; Metazoa; Chordata; Mammalia; Carnivora; Herpestidae
Description: lncRNA (ENSSSUG00005000188.1)
Source: RNAcentral